CGAUUGAACGCUGGCGGCAUGCCUUACACAUGCAAGUCGAACGGUAACGCGGGGCAACCUGGCGACGAGUGGCGAACGGGUGAGUAAUACAUCGGAACGUGCCCAGUAGUGGGGGAUAGCCCGGCGAAAGCCGGAUUAAUACCGCAUACGACCUACGGGUGAAAGCAGGGGAUCGCAAGACCUUGCGCUAUUGGAGCGGCCGAUGUCAGAUUAGGUAGUUGGUGGGGUAAAAGCCUACCAAGCCUACGAUCUGUAGCUGGUCUGAGAGGACGACCAGCCACACUGGGACUGAGACACGGCCCAGACUCCUACGGGAGGCAGCAGUGGGGAAUUUGGACAAUGGGCGCAAGCCUGAUCCAGCCAUGCCGCGUGCGGAAGAAGGCCUUCGGGUUGUAACCGCUUUUGUCAGGAAGAAACGCUCGUGGACUAAGUACCCGGGUAAU
RNAcentral lists this ribosomal RNA (443 nucleotides) under uncultured soil bacterium. RNAcentral describes it as "bacterial SSU rRNA". It matches the Rfam family "Bacterial small subunit ribosomal RNA", at positions 27 to 473 of the family's 1533-position model. The record is from RNAcentral.